GACGAACGCUGGCGGCGUGCUUAACACAUGCAAGUCGAACGGAAAGGCCCUGCUUUUGUGGGGUGCUCGAGUGGCGAACGGGUGAGUAACACGUGAGUAACCUGCCCUUGACUUUGGGAUAACUUCAGGAAACUGGGGCUAAUACCGGAUAGGAGCUCCUGCUGCAUGGUGGGGGUUGGAAAGUUUCGGCGGUUGGGGAUGGACUCGCGGCUUAUCAGCUUGUUGGUGGGGUAGUGGCUUACCAAGGCUUUGACGGGUAGCCGGCCUGUGAGGGUGACCGGCCACAUUGGGAGUGAGAUACGGCCCAGACUCAUACGGGAGGCAGGAGUGGGGAAUAUAGAACAAUGGGCGGAAGCCAGAUGCAGCAACGCCGCGUGCGGGAUGACGGCCUUCGGGUGGUAAACCGCUUUCGCCUGUGACGAAGCGUGAGUGACGGUAAUGGGGAAAGAAGCACCGGCAAACUACGU
This 467-nucleotide ribosomal RNA is filed under the name uncultured bacterium. Its description in RNAcentral is "partial 16S ribosomal RNA". It matches the Rfam family "Bacterial small subunit ribosomal RNA", at positions 28 to 506 of the family's 1533-position model. The record is from RNAcentral.